RNAcentral lists this ribosomal RNA (449 nucleotides) under uncultured bacterium. RNAcentral describes it as "partial 16S ribosomal RNA". It matches the Rfam family "Bacterial small subunit ribosomal RNA", at positions 29 to 523 of the family's 1533-position model. The record is from RNAcentral.
AGCGAACGCUGGCGGCAGGCCUAACACAUGCAAGUCGAACGAACUCUUCGGAGUCAGUGGCGGACGGGUGAGUAACACGUGGGAACGUGCCUUUAGGUUCGGAAUAACUCAGGGAAACUUGUGCUAAUACCGAAUGUGCCCUUCGGGGGAAAGAUUUAUCGCCUUUAGAGCGGCCCGCGUCUGAUUAGCUAGUUGGUGAGGUAAUGGCUCACCAAGGCGACGAUCAGUAGCUGGUCUGAGAGGAUGAUCAGCCACAUUGGGACUGAGACACGGCCCAAACUCCUACGGGAGGCAGCAGUGGGGAAUCUUGCGCAAUGGGCGAAAGCCUGACGCAGCCAUGCCGCGUGAAUGAUGAAGGUCUUAGGAUUGUAAAAUUCUUUCACCGGGGACGAUAAUGACGGUACCCGGAGAAGAAGCCCCGGCUAACUUCGUGUCAGCAGCCGCCGUAA